GGAGUCUGGGCCGUGUCUCAGUCCCAAUGUGGCCGGCCAACCUCUCAGUCCGGCUACUGAUCGUUGGCUUGGUGAGCCGUUACCUCACCAACUACCUAAUCAGACGCGAGUCCAUCCUCAAGCGGAUUGCUCCUUUAAUAUACCUGCCAUGCGACAAGUACACCUUAUGCGGUAUUAGCAGCCGUUUCCGGCUGUUGUCCCCCUCUUGAGGCCAGGUUACUCACGCGUUACUCACCCGUGCGCCGGUCGCCAUCAAAGUCAGCAAGCUGACUCCAUGCUGCCCCUCGACUUGCAUGUGUUAAGCCUGUAGCUAGCGUUCAUC
RNAcentral lists this ribosomal RNA (322 nucleotides) under uncultured Oscillospiraceae bacterium. RNAcentral describes it as "partial 16S ribosomal RNA". The record is from RNAcentral. Lineage: Bacteria; Bacillati; Bacillota; Clostridia; Eubacteriales; Oscillospiraceae.